CCACACAAGUGGUUCUAUAAAUAGAACCCUUUCGCAGAAGCAUUUGUGAAGUUGCAAUUUCGUUUCUCUCUCUCUCACUCACUCAAAGCCUUCAUUCGUAGAAGCUAGCACUGAGAUUGAAGGAAUUCGUUCGUGUGGACUGAGCAGAGGCGUUGUCAUCGUUCAACAUUCGUGAUCGCUCCGUAGAUAUGCAUCAAAGGUUACAAUCGCCACAAGAGGGAACGAUUUAUCACUGAUCAUGCCCAUUUGUAAGGAUCACUAAAGGAGAAAUCUUUAAAUUCCGCUAUAUUUUGGAUCGCUCUUCUCCUACACACUGUACACACAAUUUCAUCCAUUCUUCAAUCAAUCUCCCUUAUGAAAAUCCAAUUCCAACAAAUUCCAAGUCCAUUCCAUGGUAAAAGAACCUAUUUGAUUUCAACUUGAAAAAAUCCAUUAGAAAAACCAUGUAAUAAAAACCGAUACAAUUUCAAUUCAAACUUGCAAAACCUAGCUAACACGGUUCAAACUUCCAAACAAUUCCCAAAUCAUCAUGACAAACCAAUUCAAUUCCAAUUGUUGACAUUAUACAAUAGCUCACUAAUUCAUAUAACCAAUAUCGACAUCCUAACUAACAUCCUUAUUCAUUCUAACCGAUAAUCCAAGGAAUGAACAAACUAAUAACGACUCUUACAAUUUAAUCUAAUUUCACUAAUAGCCACUAACAUGACACUAGCUCACUUGAUAGAAAUUCAUACCAUAUGUCGUUCCAAACUUAAGCCCAAAGCAAUCCCAAGGCAGCCAUUAAAUCUGAAUCCCACGACCCUGUCCAUCGAUCAUUCCAAGNN
This 824-nucleotide long non-coding RNA is filed under the name Lathyrus oleraceus (garden pea). RNAcentral's name for it is "Pisum sativum (pea) long non-coding RNA (PSAT_LNC040473)". Lineage: Eukaryota; Viridiplantae; Streptophyta; Magnoliopsida; Fabales; Fabaceae. The record is from RNAcentral.